AUACGGAGGGUGCAAGCGUUGUUCGGAAUCACUGGGCGUAAAGGGCGCGCAGGCGGUUUUACAAGUCAGAUGUGAAAGCCCACGGCUUAACCGUGGAAGUGCAUUUGAAACUGUAAGACUUGAGUAUCAGAGGGGAAGGUGGAAUUCCCGGUGUAGAGGUGAAAUUCGUAGAUAUCGGGAGGAAUACCGGUGGCGAAGGCGACUUUCUGGCUGAAUACUGACGCUGAGGCGCGAAAGCGUGGGGAGCAAACAGGAUUAGAAACCCUAGUAGUCC
RNAcentral lists this ribosomal RNA (274 nucleotides) under uncultured bacterium. Its description in RNAcentral is "partial 16S ribosomal RNA". It matches the Rfam family "Bacterial small subunit ribosomal RNA", at positions 523 to 796 of the family's 1533-position model. The record is from RNAcentral.